UCUAGUGGACGCUCCUUCAACAACAACAGCUCGUCAGACACCACGGUAGCUUUCGACCAAACACAGCUACAACAUUCAUGCUCUUUACACUGUUUUAGUGUAUAUUAGUCGCUGUGUACUAAACACACCUCUUUCGUAUGUACUUGUUGGCCCAUUGAAUUAUAUAUUUACGUUGUUUGUCAGCUAGCUGGUUUGCUAAAUUAGCUUAGAACUAGGCUAGUCGCUAAUGCUAGCUAGCUAACAUCCCCGACCAUGAGUUCACUAAGCUACUCUCCUCCUGCUAAAGAAGAGGAGGUCUGCUGGACGGAGAAAUAAGCUCUUGUGAAAGAGGAGGAGGAAGAGAAGGAUGUUACAAUACACAAACAAGUAGAGGGUGAGGCUGUUACAGUGAAAUAAGAAAAGAAAGACGUGUCAGUGAAAGAAGAGGAAGACUCAUUCAGAGUGAAAGAGGAAGAGGAUUGUACAGUGAAAUAAGAGGACGUAUUUGGAGUGAAAGAGGAGGAGGGGGAGAUUACUGUCACAUUGGAGGAAGAAGAGGAGGUUGGAGAUCUGUUUAACACCAGAGAGAGACGGGACUAUCGUGCAUCCUCUGGGGAGCCUCAACAACCUCAUGAUGCUGAGGAGGCAGAGGAAAGUAUCUCCAGAUCAGAACACCUCAAGAAACACCCGCAGAGACCCUCAGGGAAGAGGACUCACUGCUGCUCUGACUGUGGGAAACAUUUCAAAUUUUCAUUUGAACUUAAAAUACACCAGAGAACUCACACAGGAGAGAAGCCUUAUAGCUGUGCACAAUGUGGGAAGAGUUUUUCUCAGUCAAACACCCUGAUAUCACACCAGAGAACACACACAGGAGAGAAACCCUAUGGCUGUGCUCAAUGUGGGAAGAGUUUUACCACAGCUUGCAAGCGGACUAGACACCAUAGAACACACACAGGAGAGAAAUCUUAUAGCUGUACUCAAUGUGGGAAGAGUUUUGCUACGUCUAGCAAGUGGACUACACAACAUGUAACACACACAGGAGAGAAAUCUCAGCUGUGAUCAGUGUGUGUCCUUGAUAAAAUACCUCUGAUCAAACAUCAGAAAAUACAUGAA
Molecule: long non-coding RNA, 1092 nt
Organism: Oncorhynchus nerka (sockeye salmon)
Lineage: Eukaryota; Metazoa; Chordata; Actinopteri; Salmoniformes; Salmonidae
Exons: 2
Source: RefSeq, a predicted model, not a curated record